CUUGUUCGAUUUUUAUAACAGGUCUUUUCUGCCCGGUGUUAAAUAAACGGCCGGGUAUCUUGACCGUGAAAGGUAGCAUAAUCAUUUGUCUUUUAAUUGAGGACUGGAAUGAAAGAAGUUUGAAGUUUUAGCUGUCUCUUUUUUGUUAUUAUAAUUUGCUGUUUUUGUGAAGAAGAAAAUUUCUGAAAAAGCAAAAAGACCCUAUUAAGCUUUAUCUUUUUGUUUUUUUUAUUCUUAUAAAAACAAAAAGAUUUGGUUGGGGUGACUAAAKAAGAUUAAUAUCUCUUUUUUAUCAAUGUGUUUAACAUUGACCCAAAAUUUUUUGGUUAAAAAAUUAGUUACUAUAGGGAUAACAGCGUAAUCUUUUCAUAAAAGUUCUAUUAGAAAAGGGUUGCGACCUCGAUGUUGACUUAUUUUAUCCUAUAAAGGUGUAGUAGCUGUAAGGGUUGGUCUGUUCGACCAUUAAAA
RNAcentral lists this ribosomal RNA (468 nucleotides) under Micrura fasciolata. Its description in RNAcentral is "partial 16S ribosomal RNA". It matches the Rfam family "Bacterial large subunit ribosomal RNA", at positions 1821 to 2593 of the family's 2925-position model. The record is from RNAcentral. Lineage: Eukaryota; Metazoa; Nemertea; Pilidiophora; Heteronemertea; Lineidae.